CUCGAGGAGCUUGAUUUCUACUUGGGCGACAAUCCGUGGUGGACGCUGCCGCCGUCCGUGCUCCGUUUCACGCCCACGCUGCGCAUGGUCAGACUGUGCGGUUGUGAUUUCCACGAGAUUAAAGUUACCCCCUCACUUCAUCUCCCUCGGCUGAAGGAGCUCAAGCUCUGUGGUGUCGCUAUCUCGGAGGCGACCCUCCACUGCCUGCUCGCUGCCUCCACUGCGCUAGAGAACCUUCAGCUUGAUAACAUCCAGGGGCCCAGCUCCGUCCGGAUCAUCUCGUCCACUCUACGGAGUGUUGGUGUCGCUGGUUCUUACUCCUACGGUGAAGAGUCCCUGCUUCAGGAGCUUGUCAUUGAAGAUGCACCUUGCCUUCAGAGAUUGAUCACACUUGGUCCAUUUGGUGGCCCGAGGAUAGUCAGAGUCCUUGCGGCGUUGAAAUUGAUGGUGUUGGGCUGCUUGUCUAGCGAAAAUUUCAAAACUGUGAAUGGAGCAAUUCUGCAGGAAAUUGUCCCCACUAGCUUGACCACGUCGGGACGCACA
RNAcentral lists this ribosomal RNA (543 nucleotides) under Triticum aestivum (bread wheat). RNAcentral's name for it is "partial small subunit ribosomal RNA". Lineage: Eukaryota; Viridiplantae; Streptophyta; Magnoliopsida; Poales; Poaceae. The record is from RNAcentral.